Molecule: non-coding RNA, 69 nt
Organism: Potamilus streckersoni
Lineage: Eukaryota; Metazoa; Mollusca; Bivalvia; Unionida; Unionidae
Source: the annotation of a GenBank genome assembly
GGUUGCCUAGUGGCUAGAGCGUUUGCCUCAGAAGCGGGAGGUCGUGGGUUUGAAUCCCGACCAAAUCCU